AACGCACAUUGCGCUCCUUGGUAUUCCGGGGAGCACGCCUGUUUGAGAAUCAGUAAAAUCCAUCGACGUCACUUCCCUCCGCUUAACUGCGGAGGGUUGGAGCUUCGGACAUGAGACGUCUGCCCCUUUCGGAGGGGUAGUGUUUCGAAAUAUAAUGUCACGAAAUCGUAGGACGUGAGUCUCAGGUUUCAAGCGCAUGAAAGAGUGUUUCACACCCUAAAGUACGUUUGUAUAUGCCUUUGACGAGCAUGGACUCCGAGUUGAGUGACCCAACUGAAUCAACCAAAGGAUGGGGAAUUUAUCCCUGUUCUUUGAACACUUGGUCUCAAAUCAGGUGGGAAAACCCGCUGAACUUAA
This 357-nucleotide unclassified non-coding RNA is filed under the name uncultured soil eukaryote. RNAcentral's name for it is "sequence contains 5.8S rRNA gene, ITS2, 28S rRNA gene". The record is from RNAcentral.